GCUUUCUCCCAGGUAGUGGCUGGGUGUAAAGCGAGCGUCGAACUGGUUGCAGCCGGUUCGGCGCUCAUUUUUUUCGUUU
RNAcentral lists this antisense RNA (79 nucleotides) under Corynebacterium jeikeium. RNAcentral's name for it is "ctRNA". It matches the Rfam family "ctRNA". Rfam says of the family: Rolling circle replication plasmids contain a number of mechanisms to maintain a low copy number. One of these methods is to transcribe a small RNA called ctRNA (for counter-transcribed RNA) than is transcribed on the opposite strand to RepB the replication initiation protein. ctRNA binds to the mRNA of repB and causes translational inhibition. The record is from Rfam by way of RNAcentral. Lineage: Bacteria; Bacillati; Actinomycetota; Actinomycetes; Mycobacteriales; Corynebacteriaceae.